UCUCAGCCAUUAGUUGCAUCUAAUCCAAAUGUUGGAUUUAUUUCUAAAAUUAAAAUCAAAUUUGUUAGGGUUCCAUCUCUUUCACUCUUUCAAAGAAAAGAACGCUUCUUUUCUCUCUGCCAUAGCAGAGGGUUUUGGCUCCAUCUUUCUUCUUAGCAAAAUUUGACUCACAUAUCUUAAAAUCAGAAAUUUGUGUGGUCAUUUUAAGGAAUCAUCUGCAAACUCAAGCAAUUUGACUGAAGAGUUCAAAAUUCAUUGCCAUUUACAAUGAAGUUGACAAAGUUCGCGGUUGUAAGCUCGAGUUCAAGUCCGAAGCCAGAAUCUGUAGACCUUGACGUGACCCCAGUUCCUCCACCGCAAAAGGUCAGUUUUUCCUUAUAAGUUUUAGUCGCUCUUUAUUUUUUUAUUAAGUAUAAAGUUGUCGUUUUCUUAUCCAGUAGAAUCAUGUGUUAGUUCCCUUUUGUUCUGUUAUAGAAGUUCAUGGAUAGAAGUUCAUGGUUUAGUUAUUUUUUUAUUGUAUAAAUCAUGUGUUCAAAAAUUUGUUUGGUUCACUCAUGAAGCAUAUUCAUAAGAUGCUGCUAUUUUUAUACUAAUUAGGAACUAAAAAGUUUUACGUUAAAACUUGAUCUCAAAAACUAGUUUAAUCCCUAUCAAUCUCUGUCCGAUUCAAUUUCAUUAAAAGAGGAGUGGAUUCGAAACCUUAAGAGCAACUGUUCAAAUGGAGUUGGUUCUAUGCACUCUUUAGAGAUUGUUGUAACUUAGCCCAUAACUUGUUUUUCUUUCCAUGAUUAUAGACAAAAGGACAACUUGUUUAAUCAUUGUUAGUUUGGGAAGAGGACUUAUGGAUUGGCAUAAUGUUUGAUUAUUUAAAAAGGGUCAUAAAAGAAAAAUGCAUCUUGCUGCAGUAUUGACAUGCCUCCUUUCAUUUCUAUAAUACUAAUAUCAUGACAGUAGGCUUUUUUGUUCAUAUAAACUAAAUGUCAUAACUAUAAGAUUUAAGGUACCUUGUAAUGAUAUAAUUUAUAAAAACACAUAUUAGUAUGGAAUUUGGUGCAUGCUUAUAGAUCUCUUUGCAAAUUUGGUGCCUUUUUUGUUGAUUUUUAAAGUAACUUUAAGGGGUUUAAAGUAUGUACUAUUAGAGUAAAUUUGUUCUGAUCCUAGAGUGUAUGAGAUUUUAUUUGAGUAGAGAAUCUAAGCACUUACUUUUAAUAAAGGAACACUUUGGCAACCUUUAUGUUAAUAAGGUCCUAGCUAUGGGAUUUUUGGGUUACUUUUCUGUAAAUAAAAAAAAGGAAGAAGAAACAUUCUGAUAAUAAUAUGCUAGGCACUACGUCUUAAGAUCUUAUAUUUGCUUAAGAUUAGCAGGUCUCAAGAGUUCAAGAAACUUGGAUAUGUUUUGAAAUGGUUAAUUUGGUCAGCAUCCCUAGAAGAACAACUAGAACUGUUAAUCCUAUUGCUUAAAAUGAGAAAUGGGAAGUUUUUGUUUAUGUCUAGGUGCAAAGAUAUGAAUCUGUUAGUAUGUGAACUCUAGAAGUUGCAUAAUUUACGAUUCUUAUUGUUUUCCUUAUUCUCAUAUUACUUAACAAAGAAUGAAAUAUCCUUCUAAUUCUUUCUUUGCCUCUUUUCUCUUUUUGCAUAUACAUCUGGAGCAAAUCACGAGUUUUAAUACAAGACUCACCCUACAGAACAUGGAGUCACCACUGCAUCUUAGGCAUAUGGACAGCAAGAAAACAAGCAAAUUGCUUGGCCGCCUUCACUAUUUACAUUUACUCUAUUUUGAAUUUUUUAAUCAAUUUGAUUAUAUUAUUUGGUUAUUUUAGUUCUACACUUAAUCUGGGAUUGUUGAUUCAGUUUUGACUUCUUUACUUAGUAUUCUCACUUCGUCACUGGCGGAUAUUAUCUUCUUAUAUAAUAGUGCUCUUAAAUUA
This is a long non-coding RNA of Nicotiana tabacum (common tobacco), 1928 nucleotides long. RefSeq lists it as uncharacterized. Lineage: Eukaryota; Viridiplantae; Streptophyta; Magnoliopsida; Solanales; Solanaceae. The record is from RefSeq and is a predicted model, not a curated record.